This 73-nucleotide transfer RNA is filed under the name Pseudomyrmex dendroicus. RNAcentral describes it as "tRNA-Cys". The record is from RNAcentral. Lineage: Eukaryota; Metazoa; Arthropoda; Insecta; Hymenoptera; Formicidae.
CAUUUUAUAUUUUAUAAAAAAAUUUUAAAUUGCAAAUUUAAAGAAAUCAAUUAAAUUAUUUUGAUUAAAAUGU